AUCCAGCUGACGAGUCCCAAAUAGGACCUAAACGCGCGUCCUGGAU
Molecule: non-coding RNA, 46 nt
Filed under: Schistosoma haematobium
Lineage: Eukaryota; Metazoa; Platyhelminthes; Trematoda; Strigeidida; Schistosomatidae
Source: RNAcentral